Papaver somniferum (opium poppy) is the source of this 550-nucleotide long non-coding RNA. RefSeq lists it as uncharacterized. The record is from RefSeq and is a predicted model, not a curated record. The transcript has 5 exons. NCBI's taxonomy places the organism in Eukaryota, Viridiplantae, Streptophyta, Magnoliopsida, Ranunculales, Papaveraceae.
GCCUCAUUCUCGCCGCCGCUUGAAUGCUUUUUUGUUAUGUUUAUGGAUGUUUAUGUUGAAUAUUAAUCUGAUAUGUGGAUGUCGUUUUUGUUUUGCGGAUAUAUUGGCGAUUGGUUCUCUCAUUUGAAAACUGCUCGGCAAUGGUGAACCCAAAGAUGAAGAUCUUGGAUUUGUGUACGAACCCAUAGUGAAGGAAGCAACUAGCAAACACAAGUCUGUAGCUGAAAAAGGUUAAUAAUGUGUCUCCAAAUCAUAGCCGGCCUGAAUUUUUGAGCAGGACAUCACCUAAGAGGUUGUAUGGAAAUACCCUGUGGAGUAGCCCCAAACAGUCAUUUUCUUAGGCCGACUCUCCAACAAAAGGUAUACCUUUCAGGCGGAACAUUGUAGAACGAAUACAUAUUUUCGCAUAUGCUCAACACUACAUGAGAGAACAUGACGGCUGUAAACAGACCAAAUUGAAAGUGCUAAUACUUUAAUGGGUUUUAUGGAGUUCGGAAACAUGGACAAGAUCUGAAUUAUGUAAAAAGCGCGCACCAUAUUUCGUCUCGCC